AUAUAAUUCAUCCUUAUAUAAUUCUUCCUGUUGAGUAACUGAUAAUGCACUGGAAAAGAAGGAAAAUAUGGAUUACAUUAUUACGUGUGUGCUUACCU
Molecule: non-coding RNA, 98 nt
Organism: Cucurbita pepo subsp. pepo (vegetable marrow)
Lineage: Eukaryota; Viridiplantae; Streptophyta; Magnoliopsida; Cucurbitales; Cucurbitaceae
Source: RefSeq, a predicted model, not a curated record